RNAcentral lists this ribosomal RNA (497 nucleotides) under uncultured bacterium. RNAcentral's name for it is "partial 16S ribosomal RNA". It matches the Rfam family "Bacterial small subunit ribosomal RNA", at positions 28 to 507 of the family's 1533-position model. The record is from RNAcentral.
GAUGAACGCUGGCGGCGUGCCUAAUACAUGCAAGUCGAGCGAACAGACGAGGAGCUUGCUCCUCUGACGUUAGCGGCGGACGGGUGAGUAACACGUGGAUAACCUACCUAUAAGACUGGGAUAACUUCGGGAAACCGGCUCUAAUACCGGAUAAUAUAUUGAACCGCAUGGUUCAAUAGUGAAAGACGGUUUUGCUGCUACUUAUAGAUGGAUCCGCGCCGCAUUAGCUAGUUGGUAAGGUAACGGCUUACCAAGGCAACGAUGCGUAGCCGACCUGAGAGGGUGAUCGGCCAAACUGGAACUGAGACACGGUCCAGACUCCUACGGGAGGCAGCAGUAGGGAAUCUUCCGCAAUGGGCGAAAGCCUGACGGAGCAACGCCGCGUGAGUGAUGAAGGUCUUCGGAUCGUAAAACUCUGUUAUUAGGGAAGAACAAAUGUGUAAGUAACUAUGCACGUCUUGACGGUACCUAAUCAGAAAGCCACGGCUAACUACGUG